CUAAAAAAGUCACACUUUAUUUUAAGGAAUAUGAUCAUUUGCUGAGGUGAAGGCAGGAAGCAUAAGAGCUGUUCUGACACACCCUCUGAGCAGGGAGCCCCUCCCAUGUGCACUUUUAAUGACUGGCUCAUCAUUCUGUUCAUGAGACACUUCAACCAUCAGAGCCGAAGAUGCUUUAUGAUACUAGUGACUAAACAUCCUGCAGAAAAGGCCUAUGUAGGCAAAGUAUAAGAUUUUUACUAAUUGGUAUAGUGUACACUCAAAAUCACAUAUUCACAAAAACAAGUUAGAGAGAGAAAUGAAAAUGCACUUCUUUUCUUUUCUGCCACCUGAGUUAAAUUCAGAUCUCCUUUCCUACAGAAUGCAAAAAAGACACUCAUGAGGCAAUCUGCCGCUGCUACAAAUCACUGGAUGGGUAGAGUUUCCUCCAACGGGGAAUGUACUUAUUUAUAAGUUAGUAGCACACUUCACAUAUAAUGGACCUCAAGUUAGAAAAGCCCCUUUCUGGAAGGCACAGUUUGUUUCCAGUUUUGACUUCGGAUAUGCGGAUCCGGAUGGACAAGUUGGUUUUGUCUCACUGAGAGCCCAGCCUGCAACCAACCCCAGCAGGCACCUCCGAGUCUCUGAUAGGUGCAUCUAAAGGGCAGUUCUCUUCUGGUCACAGUCACGACAAGCAGAUAUGGAGUUCCCGUCGUGGCGCAGUGGUUAACGAAUCCGACUAGGAACCAUGAGGUUGCGGGUUCGGUCCCUGCCCUUGCUCAGUGGGUUGACGAUCCGGCGUUGCCGUGAGCUGUGGUGUAGGUUGCAGACGAGGCUCGGAUCCCUCGUUGCUGUGGCUCUGGCGUAGGCCGGUGGCUACAGCUCCAAUUCAACCCCUAGCCUGGGAACCUCCAUAGGCCGCGGGAGCGGCCCAAGAAAUAGCAACAACAACAACAAAAGACAAAAGACAAAAAAAAAAAAAAAAGAAAUCACUAAUCCUAUUAUGAGAAAGGAAGGCUGAAGAGACAACUGGCAGUAGCCUUUAUGUGUAUUUACUUGAAAAAAUAAGCCCAGGUCUGAGGUAUGUUGAGUAAUCUCCAUGGAGACCCAUCAGUUUCUGCCUGAUGGUGCUGAGCAGAGACAGUUAUCAUGACAUAGGCGGAGGAAGAUGUCCAGGAGGAAAAUGGAUGACACAUCACCCACCUCCUGAUGUCACACUUCGGGGCAGCCUUUUUACUGAAAGCCCUGGGUGUGGGCUGGGAAUACAUUUAAAAUUCUUCCUUUUCCCAGUUACCAAGAGAAUCAUCAUGAUGGGCAGGUGUGGACUCUGAAGACCCUCUACCAUAUCCUCAUGUCCUGGAAGAAGGAU
Molecule: long non-coding RNA, 1348 nt
Filed under: Sus scrofa (pig)
Lineage: Eukaryota; Metazoa; Chordata; Mammalia; Artiodactyla; Suidae
Description: lncRNA (ENSSSCG00005027349.1)
Source: RNAcentral